UUCUACAACUCAAGGGCUUAGGGUUUUUAAGUCACUUUCUCAGGGGAAGGAAGAGUACUUGCAGAGACCUGAGUUUAACUGGAACUUUCCUAAAUUUCCAGUCACUACCAAUAGUUCGGUGUUAAUUGAAGCGAUCCAGAAUUGGACCCAAACCUUUUUGUGAAGUGUGAUAGUGAAAUGCUGCAUCUUUGAAUUUGUUUUUCUAAUACCAAGUCUUGGCAUUCUAUAUAACCAUCUCCCGAUAGGAGAUGGUUAGGUUAGCUAUCUGUUAACCUUCGUGCCAGUGGACCUACAAACAAAAGGGAGACUACAAGACAACAUCAGUGGAAAACUUUGUAGUUCACUUUGUUUGGAUAUGGGCAAGUAAUUUCUAAUGAAAUGAGUUACAGGAAAUACUAUCUCUGAAAAUAUUUCCCUUUGGGUUCAUGUUCUUAGUUCAUUUUAUCUAUCAUUAAAAUUAGAAUAUUGUUUUUAAGUCAUGAUGACAUUUGAAAAAUAAAAACCAUGGAAGUCCCUAA
This is a long non-coding RNA of Perognathus longimembris pacificus (Pacific pocket mouse), 518 nucleotides long. RefSeq lists it as uncharacterized. The transcript has 2 exons. The record is from RefSeq and is a predicted model, not a curated record. Lineage: Eukaryota; Metazoa; Chordata; Mammalia; Rodentia; Heteromyidae.